This 382-nucleotide ribosomal RNA is filed under the name SAR86 cluster bacterium. RNAcentral's name for it is "bacterial SSU rRNA". It matches the Rfam family "Bacterial small subunit ribosomal RNA", at positions 1 to 368 of the family's 1533-position model. Lineage: Bacteria; Pseudomonadati; Pseudomonadota; Gammaproteobacteria. The record is from RNAcentral.
GUAACACAACAUGAUUAUAAUUGAAGAGUUUGAUCAUGGCUCAGAUUGAACGCUGGCGGUAGGCUUAACACAUGCAAGUCGUGCGAGAAAGUAUCUUCGGAUAUGAGUAGAGCGGCGGACGGGUGAGUAACGCGUAGGAAUCUACCUAGUAGAAGGGGAUAGCCCGAGGAAACUCGGAUUAAUACCGUAUACCUCCUUCGGGAGAAAGAAGGCCUCUCAUUGAAGCUUUCGCUACUAGAUGAGCCUGCGUAAGAUUAGCUUGUUGGUGAGGUAAAGGCUCACCAAGGCGACGAUCUUUAGCUGGUCUGAGAGGACGAUCAGCCACAUUGGGACUGAGACACGGCCCAGACUCCUACGGGAGGCAGCAGUGGGGAAUUUUCCG